AUGAGAGGAGCCCGUACUUGGCUUUUUAGGGUUUCACCUAAUAGCCAUCACCCUCUUUCUCUCUCAUCAGUCCCUCUCUCUCUCCUCCCCUCUCCUCCCCUCUCCUCCCCAUCAUUCACCAGCUUCUUUCUCCUCUCCUCCGUCAAUCUGAGUUUUCAAAACACUUGUGCUCUUUCUCUCCUCCUCCGUCCUCCUACUCCUUGUUCCUCCUGCUCUUAUAGAGAAAUUAUGGUUGAUGGGUAUGUGAAAAAGUGUUCGAACAUUUUAUUACGGGCGGGGCACAAUGCGAAGAAAAAGAAAUCAGUGUUAAUUUGUUGUUCCUCUUAUAGUGAAUUCUAGAUAUUGGAUCAAGAUAGCGGCGAAUUGUCAAAAACUACUGAAGAACAAUUCUUAUAAUUUGGGAUAUCUUUGCCUAAAACUUCAACCAUUUUAGAUCUUGAGGCUAUUACAGAUAAUAUUUGACGGAUAUUGCGAUAUGGCAGUGAGACAGGUUGCUAGUAUUCAUUUCAAGAACUUUAUUGCCAAGAAUUGGUCGCCUCGAUCAUGAUCUUAGUUCGUUUCCUUUCGUGUAGUGAGGAGCAAUCAAAGAUCUCACCGGCUGAUAAAGCCUUGGUAAGAGAAAAUAUCCUUGUGUUUGUGGUUCAAGUUCCACCGCUUUUGAGGGUGUAGUUUGGCGAGUGCCUCAAAACAAUUAUCCAUGUUGAUUACCCUGAGCAGUGGCCUGGCCAUUGGGUGAAGCAUAAUUUGCAAGAUCAACAGGUCUAUGGUGCUCUGUUUGUUUUGCGGAUUCUCGCUAGAAAAUAUGAGUAAGUACAUGAUUGCUGAUUAUGUAUGGUAUAUUGCGGUAUCAUCACAAAAAAAUAAAGCAAAUCAUAUGUUGUUUUAUUCUUUUGGGUUUUCUCUGAUUCUAGUUGCUCCUCAUCAAGUAAGUGGAGUUGCUUACCUAAUUCUCUAUUGGCUAGUACAGUCAAAAGUCAAAUUAGAUAAUAUGCUAGCUUGACAGUGUAUUCAUGUUCAACAAGCACUAUAUUUGAUUUUACAAAAAGUUUACAUGUUUCUUGAUUAAUGCUUAAUACAAAAAAAAAAGUUCUCUAGUGUUUUUGCAUAGGCAGACUGAUAAAUUUUAGCAGUCAUUUGCCCCAUUUUUUUCCUUAUUGUGCUUGCUUUAUGAGCUCCAAAUGGUAUGUAAUUUUUACCAUGAUUCUUCUUCUUCCAAUUCCGAAUGACGAUAAAUCUGCUCCUUCUUUGAAGUCUAAGAAUUAUCGUCUUUUUGGUAGAGAUAAGCCUGUUCAUAAGGUCCUUGGUGGUGGUUAACGUAUGUUUCUUCUGUUUUCGAUUUUUAUUUAUUUUUUUUACUGCAUGUUGUUUGUAUCUUCUAAAUUUGCUUGUUUUCCGUACAAAUUAUGCGAAAUUGAUGAUUGUUUUUAGCUUGAUUGUUGUUGAUUAAUGGAGAAUAGGAGUAAUUUUGAUUGUAAUUAUUGAAUGUUUUGUUUGUAUGCUUAAUUGUUUAGACUGAAGUUUGGGAUUUAAUCAUAUUUGGACAUAGAUCUAAUAAUUUAUGAUAUGAUUACUUAACAUUUUUCUGCAAAUCUACAAUUCUUUGUUAUUUUAGCUUUUUAUAAUUUACUUGGGACACCCUCAAGUGAUGCAGCAGAUUUGUUGCAGCAGCUAUCUCUGGAAUCUCAUACCAAAUCUCUUUGGUUCUCGCAAUGUUAUCCGAGUAGAGUGUUCGUUCUAUCUUUUUCAAGUGGUAGUUGUUCGUGGCUUUGCAGAUGGAGUCCAUGUCCGAGGGCUCAUUCAUUACUUUUGUAUGCACUUCACCAAAGCUUCACCACACUAUACAAAUUCUAAAGCCAAUCGCUUACCUAAUCAGUUGCUUCAGGGAAUCUGAGAGUAGCUUCUGGAAUGUAGUGUGUUCAUUUGUGAGCAGCUGCUUUGUUUUGAGAUUUGCUUUUGCUUUGUUUUUAGUUUUAGUUAUAUUAAGAAAUAAUUAAAUUGCUGAUUGUAUAUUACUCUGUAAUUAUUAAGUGUAUACUAUACUUGUAUAAAAUAAAUAAAUAUAUAUAUU
Molecule: long non-coding RNA, 2068 nt
Organism: Chenopodium quinoa (quinoa)
Lineage: Eukaryota; Viridiplantae; Streptophyta; Magnoliopsida; Caryophyllales; Amaranthaceae
Exons: 5
Source: RefSeq, a predicted model, not a curated record